RNAcentral lists this ribosomal RNA (368 nucleotides) under Myxobdella socotrensis. RNAcentral describes it as "partial small subunit ribosomal RNA". The record is from RNAcentral. Lineage: Eukaryota; Metazoa; Annelida; Clitellata; Hirudinida; Hirudinidae.
UCCCUUCUAUUAUUAAUCAAUAUUGAGUUUGGAGAGUAAAAGCUUAUUGCUUAAAAACCAAAGAAUAUGGCGGUAUCUUAUUCUAUCAGGGGAACCUGUACCUUAAUUUGAUAGCCCACGGGUGUUAAUCCUAAAUUUGAAAACUCAGCUUGUGUACUGCCGAAUUAUAGACUUUAAAAAUUUGUCUAUAAAAAAAUUUAUUGAUAGAAAAUCAGGUCAAAGUGCAGCUUAUGUUUAGGUGGAAUUGGGUUACAUUUAUUUUUAAGAUUCGAAUAAUUAUAUGUGAUAAUAUAUUUAUAAGAAGAAUUUGAUAGUAAUUAAAUAACAUAUAUUUAAUGAAUUAGAAUCUAAGAUAUGCACACAUCGCC